GGUCCCAUGACAUGAAAUUCUCACUUUAUGAGGUUUUCUAACAUAAAUAUGAGUUCCCCUAGCCUGCCUGGCCCGCCAAUGAGACUCAACCGUGUGUGUGUGUGUGUGUGUGUGUGUGUGUGUGUGUGUGAAUACACACACUGUAACGCAAGUGUUUCUUGUCGGUUCUUUGACGUGUCUUGUAUUUCCACAACGAGACUGUUAUCUGAGCCAUGGUUGAGAAGGAAUUGGGGGAAAGGAACUUUGGCUUUGACUCGCUGAAGUACAUGAACUGCGACAUGCCGCCGGUUGCCGCGAGGCACCAUCGCCCGGCAGCGGGCAGCCGGCAGCAGGCAGCGCCCGGUUCAGUCGACUUCAGGUUGAUGUGAAAGUGGAAGAACCAGAGACGUCGCAGAACCCGACAAAGUCGUUUUUGAUUCAUAAUAUCGUCUGGAGGCGCACACAGCUUUUGGCCGAGAUAAUAUGUAUUCAAUGAUAUCGAUUUCUAUGUAUUAUAUGAUAUUAUUUAGAUAUAGAGCUCCAGGACUGUAACGCAAGUGUUGUAGGGGAGCCCGGGGGCAAUUGUAACACUUUUUGGUUUUAGUGUCAUUACUCAAAAACCUCUUGAACUAUUUAGAUAAUUUGUUAAUUUGGUCAAUGUGUAUCUGUACUCUACUUGUGAACAGUAAUAAUUUUCUUUUACAGGCAAUGUUAGAUUCACAAUAUCUCAUCAUCUCAUCUCAUUUUCGUCCGCUUAUCCGGGGUCGGGUCGCGGGGGGAGCAGCUCAAGCAGGGGGCCCCAGACUUCCCUUUCCCGGGCCACAUUGACCAACUCUGACGGGGGGAUCCCGAGGCGUUCCCAGGCCAGUGUUGAGAUAUAAUCUCUCCACCUAGUCCUGGGUCUUCACCGAGGUCUCCUCCCCACUGGACGUGCCUGAAACACCUCCCAAGGAAGGCGCCCAGUGGGCAUCCUUACCAGAUGCCCGAACCACCUCAGCUGACUCCUUUCUAAUUAAAGGAGCAGCGGCUCUAAUCCGAGUUCCUCACGGAUGGCUGAGCUUCUCACCCUAUCCCUAAGGGAGACGCCAGCCACCCUUCUGAGAAAACUCAUCUCGGCCGCUUGUACCCGCGAUCUCGUCCUUUCGGUCAUCACACAGCCCUCAUGACCAUAGGUGAGGAUAGGAACGAAGAUCGACCGGUAGAUCGAGAGCUUUGCCUUGCGGCUCAGCUCUCUUUUCGUUACAACAGUGCGGUAAAGCGAACGCAAUACCGCCCCCGCUGCUCCGAUUCUCCGGCCAAUCUCACGCUCCAUAGUACCCUCACUCGCGAACAAGACCCCGAGGUACUUGAACUCCUUCACUUGGGCUAAGGACUCAUUUCCUACCCGGAGUAAGCAAUCCAUCGG
This 1384-nucleotide long non-coding RNA is filed under the name Gadus morhua (Atlantic cod). Its description in RNAcentral is "lncRNA (ENSGMOG00000030979.1)". Lineage: Eukaryota; Metazoa; Chordata; Actinopteri; Gadiformes; Gadidae. The record is from RNAcentral.